This 374-nucleotide ribosomal RNA is filed under the name Parastagmatoptera sp. MN028. RNAcentral describes it as "partial 12S ribosomal RNA". The record is from RNAcentral. Lineage: Eukaryota; Metazoa; Arthropoda; Insecta; Mantodea; Mantidae.
AUACCCUAUUAUUUUUAUUGUAAAAGAAGAUUAAGUCAGAGUAUUAUUUGUUAUAGUCUUGAAACUUAAAGAAUUUGGCGGUAUUAUAGUCUAUUUAGAGGAAUCUGUUAUGUAAUCGAUAGUCCGCGUAGAACCUUACUUAUAUUAAUUUUUGUAUACCACUGUUUGAGAAUAUACUUUUAGGUAAAUUUUCAAAAUAUGAAAAUAAAUAAUAUUUCAAGUCAAGGUGCAGUUAUAUAUAAGUUGAGUAAUGGAUUACAAUAAAUUUUAUUUAUUAUGAAUUGUUAUUGUAAAAUAAUUUGAAAGUGGAUUUAAUUGUAAUUUUAUAAAGAUUGUUAAAAUGAUUUUAGCUCUAUAAUAUGUACACAUCGCCC